Molecule: unclassified non-coding RNA, 612 nt
Filed under: Hevea brasiliensis (rubber tree)
Lineage: Eukaryota; Viridiplantae; Streptophyta; Magnoliopsida; Malpighiales; Euphorbiaceae
Source: RNAcentral
AAAAAAACACAAUCAGAGUCGGUGUUCUUCACAUCAUCAAUUCUAUAACAAUGGCUACGGAGCAAUCUGUUAUGCCGGUGAUACGGGCAGCAAGACCCACUUUCCGUAAUCCCCACGACAAGGUAGCGUUUGCUGUUCACGCUGCCUUCCUUGCUUCUGGCUUUGUUCUCCAUGCCACUGGCCCUGCCGCUUCAACUGAUGAUGCUCUUUCUUCCACCUCAACUGAUGAGGUGGGUAUUGAUCAUUGGAAUGAAUUUGAGGAUUGUUACGCAUUUGUGUAUUCAAAGCCUGAGAAGAGCUCCAAAAAAGUGUUGGUGAAGUGCCUCGCAAUGAACAAUAAGCUGCUUAUAGAUGCAUUCAGGGAUGGCGAUAACGAGCCUCUACAUCUUGAACUAAGUGUUGAGGACUACAUUGUCGAGGAUGGGGGAACUAACUACAACACCCAGUUCAAGAAUUUGGGAAAGCUGGUAGGAGAACUGAACAAAGCCAUCCUGACUAAAUAUACUGGUUCUUCUAUGUCAAAUUCCUCUACUCAAACUUCAAGUUCUGAAAAGGGAGAAAUCAACAACCCUCCUAAUGUUGAACGCCAACCUGACUAUCCGUAUCAGCCUG